CCCCUCUCAGGAUUGCACCUGGAGAGUUUCCAGUCCCCUACCAGACUCUGCUAUGGAAGGGAGAGUCAAGCAGAGACAUACCCAUUCCAUUCCUAGCUUGGGCUGUGGCUAGCUAGUGGAAGGCAAUUUGCUACAAGU
Molecule: small nucleolar RNA, 138 nt
Organism: Tachyglossus aculeatus (Australian echidna)
Lineage: Eukaryota; Metazoa; Chordata; Mammalia; Monotremata; Tachyglossidae
Source: RefSeq, a predicted model, not a curated record